CCUACGGGUGGCUGCAGUGAGGAAUAUUGGUCAAUGGGCGGAAGCCUGAACCAGCCAAGUCGCGUGAGGGAUUAAGGCCCUGCGGGUCGUAAACCUCUUUUGCCGGGGAGCAGUGGUCCGGACGCGUCCGGACCGGGAGAGUACCCGGAGAAAAAGCAUCGGCUAACUCCGUGCCAGCAGCCGCGGUAAUACGGAGGAUGCGAGCGUUAUCCGGAUUUAUUGGGUUUAAAGGGUGCGUAGGCGGGCAUUUAAGCCGGCGGUCAAAUGUCGGGGCUCAACCCCGGCCUGCCGUCGGAACUGGGUGCCUUGAGUGGGCGAGAAGUAUGCGGAAUGCGUGGUGUAGCGGUGAAAUGCAUAGAUAUUAGGAGGAACACCAGUGGCGAAGGCGGCUUACUGGACUGCAACUGACGUUGAGGCUCGAAAGCGUGGGGAGCAAACAGGAUUAGAUACCCCAGUAGUC
Molecule: ribosomal RNA, 460 nt
Filed under: uncultured bacterium
Lineage: Bacteria
Description: partial 16S ribosomal RNA
Rfam family: Bacterial small subunit ribosomal RNA
Source: RNAcentral